RNAcentral lists this ribosomal RNA (652 nucleotides) under Bacillus licheniformis. RNAcentral's name for it is "bacterial SSU rRNA". It matches the Rfam family "Bacterial small subunit ribosomal RNA", at positions 32 to 663 of the family's 1533-position model. The record is from RNAcentral. Lineage: Bacteria; Bacillati; Bacillota; Bacilli; Caryophanales; Bacillaceae.
AACGCUGGGCGGCGUGCCUAAUACAUGCAAGUCGAGCGGACAGAUGGGAGCUUGCUCCCUGAUGUCAGCGGCGGACGGGUGAGUAACACGUGGGUAACCUGCCUGUAAGACUGGGAUAACUCCGGGAAACCGGGGCUAAUACCGGAUGCUUGAUUGAACCGCAUGGUUCAAUUAUAAAAGGUGGCUUUUAGCUACCACUUACAGAUGGACCCGCGGCGCAUUAGCUAGUUGGUGAGGUAACGGCUCACCAAGGCAACGAUGCGUAGCCGACCUGAGAGGGUGAUCGGCCACACUGGGACUGAGACACGGCCCAGACUCCUACGGGAGGCAGCAGUAGGGAAUCUUCCGCAAUGGACGAAAGUCUGACGGAGCAACGCCGCGUGAGUGAUGAAGGUUUUCGGAUCGUAAAACUCUGUUGUUAGGGAAGAACAAGUACCGUUCGAAUAGGGCGGUACCUUGACGGUACCUAACCAGAAAGCCACGGCUAACUACGUGCCAGCAGCCGCGGUAAUACGUAGGUGGCAAGCGUUGUCCGGAAUUAUUGGGCGUAAAGCGCGCGCAGGCGGUUUCUUAAGUCUGAUGUGAAAGCCCCCGGCUCAACCCGGGGAGGGUCAUUGGAAACUGGGGAACUUGAGUGCAGAAGAGGAGAGUG